RNAcentral lists this ribosomal RNA (465 nucleotides) under uncultured bacterium. RNAcentral describes it as "bacterial SSU rRNA". It matches the Rfam family "Bacterial small subunit ribosomal RNA", at positions 338 to 795 of the family's 1533-position model. The record is from RNAcentral.
CCUACGGGUGGCAGCAGUAGGGAAUCUUCCGCAAUGGACGAAAGUCUGACGGAGCAACGCCGCGUGAGCGAAGAAGGCCUUCGGGUCGUAAAGCUCUGUUGUCAGGGAAGAACAAGUAUCGGAGUAACUGCCGGUACCUUGACGGUACCUGACGAGAAAGCCACGGCUAACUACGUGCCAGCAGCCGCGGUAAUACGUAGGUGGCAAGCGUUGUCCGGAAUUAUUGGGCGUAAAGCGCGCGCCGGCGGUCCUUUAAGUCUGAUGUGAAAGCCCCCGGCUCAACCGGGGAGGGUCAUUGGAAACUGGGGGACUUGUGUGCGGGGGAGGGAAGUGGAAUUCAACGGGUAGCGGUGAAAUGCAUCGUGAUGUGGAGGAACACCAGUGGCGAAGGCGGCUUCCUGGCCUGUAACUGACGGUGAGGCGCGAAGGCGUGGGGAGCAAAGAAGAUUAGAUACCCUAGUAGUC